GCUCCGGUGGCCUAAUGGUUAAAGCAUCCGCCUCUGAUGCGGGAGGUCGUGGGUUCUAUCCCCGGUCGAGUCA
Non-coding RNA from Potamilus streckersoni, 73 nucleotides. The record is from the annotation of a GenBank genome assembly. Lineage: Eukaryota; Metazoa; Mollusca; Bivalvia; Unionida; Unionidae.